This 30-nucleotide non-coding RNA is filed under the name Mus musculus (house mouse). The record is from RNAcentral. Lineage: Eukaryota; Metazoa; Chordata; Mammalia; Rodentia; Muridae.
UAAAAAUGUACCCUGUUUUGACAGCUCCCA